RNAcentral lists this ribosomal RNA (548 nucleotides) under uncultured Pseudomonadota bacterium. Its description in RNAcentral is "bacterial SSU rRNA". It matches the Rfam family "Bacterial small subunit ribosomal RNA", at positions 355 to 896 of the family's 1533-position model. The record is from RNAcentral. Lineage: Bacteria; Pseudomonadati; Pseudomonadota. RNAcentral also lists the same sequence under 1 other name.
UGGGGAAUUUUGGACAAUGGGCGCAAGCCUGAUCCAGCAAUGCCGCGUGCAGGAAGAAGGCCUUCGGGUUGUAAACUGCUUUUGUCAGGGAAGAAAUCUUCUGGGCUAAUACCCCGGGAGGAUGACGGUACCUGAAGAAUAAGCACCGGCUAACUACGUGCCAGCAGCCGCGGUAAUACGUAGGGUGCGAGCGUUAAUCGGAAUUACUGGGCGUAAAGCGUGCGCAGGCGGCUUUGCAAGACAGAUGUGAAAUCCCCGGGCUCAACCUGGGAACUGCAUUUGUGACUGCAAGGCUAGAGUACGGCAGAGGGGGAUGGAAUUCCGCGUGUAGCAGUGAAAUGCGUAGAUAUGCGGAGGAACACCAAUGGCGAAGGCAAUCCCCUGGGCCUGUACUGACGCUCAUGCACGAAAGCGUGGGGAGCAAACAGGAUUAGAUACCCUGGUAGUCCACGCCCUAAACGAUGUCAACUGGUUGUUGGACGGCUUGCUGUUCAGUAACGAAGCUAACGCGUGAAGUUGACCGCCUGGGGAGUACGGCCGCAAGGUUG